Molecule: unclassified non-coding RNA, 231 nt
Filed under: fungal sp.
Lineage: Eukaryota; Fungi
Description: partial internal transcribed spacer region
Rfam family: Eukaryotic small subunit ribosomal RNA (bases 1-48)
Source: RNAcentral
AAAAGUCGUAACAAGGUUUCCGUAGGUGAACCUGCGGAAGGAUCAUUCUCGAUAUAAUAGCGUAAGCUAUCAAUAUUCACAUUGUGCACCGUUACUGCGCCAUUUGGUGGCUGAAAAGUCACCGAGUGUUUUUGCGCUAUUUUUGUUUUCUAUAUACCAUAAUUAAUACCAAAAAAACAUACCAAAAAUUAAAAUUACGACAACUUUUAGCAAUGGAUCUCUAGGCUCUCG